Molecule: small nuclear RNA, 323 nt
Filed under: Chinchilla lanigera (long-tailed chinchilla)
Lineage: Eukaryota; Metazoa; Chordata; Mammalia; Rodentia; Chinchillidae
Description: 7SK RNA (ENSCLAG00000021683.1)
Rfam family: 7SK RNA
About the family: 7SK was discovered as an abundant small nuclear RNA in the mid-70s but a possible function has only recently been suggested. Two independent studies have found that 7SK RNA binds the CDK9/cyclin T complex (known as elongation factor P-TEFb).
Source: Rfam by way of RNAcentral
GGUUGUGAGGGUGAUCUAGCUAUGACAUCUGUCACCCCAUUGAUCUCCAGGGUUGAUUCAGCUGAUCUGGCUGGCUAGUUGGGUGUCCCCUUCCUCCUUCAACGCUCCACGUGCAUCCCUCCCAAAGCUUCUCACUAGGUUGAAGAGGAUGACCACCCCCGAUAGAGGAAGACUGUUCCUUGGUCAGGGGUAUAUGAGUAGCUGCGCUCCCUUGCUAGAACCUCCAAACAAGCUCUCAAAAAACCAAAAAAUGAAAUAAAGAAAGAUCAAAUUAAAGCAAACAGGAAAUAAAUUUAUGUUGUACAGAGUAAGCAGCGUUGAUU